UACUGUGGCCAAACCUUGUCAAAGACUGAUCGCAUUAGAUGUCAGAAACUAAACAGGACUGGGCCUGGUUAGUACUUGGAAAGGAGACUGCCUGGAAUAUCAGAUGUCACAGUGG
Molecule: ribosomal RNA, 115 nt
Filed under: Periophthalmus magnuspinnatus
Lineage: Eukaryota; Metazoa; Chordata; Actinopteri; Gobiiformes; Gobiidae
Source: RNAcentral